CUUAUUUGAAAAGCAUUUCUCUUACGUUUUAGAGAAAUACCUUUUCCUUGUGCUUUCAGCUGGAGUAUGCAUUGUAGUACAUAGGAGCAGAAAAAAAGUCCAAAUCAACUGUAGCUCUGUGUCUGCCUUUAAGGAAUAGGCAGCUAUUGAUUAUCUGUGCAGCAGUAUGGACCUUUGCAAUACUUAAAACCUGGAGGAAAAAAAAAGCGACAAUAGAAACUCCAUUGAUUGACUGUCCAAUGUAACACUUACAAGUUGGAG
Molecule: long non-coding RNA, 261 nt
Filed under: Numida meleagris (helmeted guineafowl)
Lineage: Eukaryota; Metazoa; Chordata; Aves; Galliformes; Numididae
Description: lncRNA (ENSNMEG00000020655.1)
Source: RNAcentral